GAUGAACGCUGGCGGCGUGCCUAACACAUGCAAGUCGAGCGAGAAAUAAAGGAAUGAAGCUUCGGUAGAUUUUCUUUAUGGAAAGCGGCGGACGGGUGAGUAACGCGUAGGCAACCUGCCCCGUACAGGGGGAUAGCCACCCGAAAAGGUGAUUAAUACCCCAUAACGCAAGAGAUACACAUGUAUCACUUGUCAAAGAUUUAUCGGUAUAGGAUGGGCCUGCGUCUGAUUAGCUAGUUGGUAGGGUAACGGCUUACCAAGGCAACGAUCAGUAGCCGACCUGAGAGGGUGAUCGGCCACAUUGGAACUGAGACACGGUCCAAACUCCUACGGGAGGCAGCAGUGGGGAAUAUUGCACAAUGGGCGCAAGCCUGAUGCAGCAACGCCGCGUGAAGGAUGAAGGCCUUCGGGUUGUAAACUUCUGUCCUAGGGGAAGAAACAAAUGACAUUACCCUUGGAGGAAGCCCGGUAAU
Molecule: ribosomal RNA, 473 nt
Filed under: [Eubacterium] sulci
Lineage: Bacteria; Bacillati; Bacillota; Clostridia; Peptostreptococcales; Anaerovoracaceae
Description: bacterial SSU rRNA
Rfam family: Bacterial small subunit ribosomal RNA
Source: RNAcentral